Triticum aestivum (bread wheat) is the source of this 2035-nucleotide RNA transcript. It is a transcript of the gene named translation initiation factor IF-2, with no coding region annotated. The record is from RefSeq and is a predicted model, not a curated record. The transcript has 4 exons. Lineage: Eukaryota; Viridiplantae; Streptophyta; Magnoliopsida; Poales; Poaceae.
AAUUACGCAUGCUCCGUGUCUACGAGUGACACGGGGACGUAAGCUCAUUUGAUCCACUGUAAAUCUCGCGUUCUCUAGACCGCUUUCCCGGAGCAAGUUUGUAACCGGGCCGGCGAGCAUUCCGAUCGAUCUGACGACUCCUCCGGCUUCCAGUUCCGAAGCCACGACUUAUAUAUGGGCUCACUGCAGCGUGCCAGCAGCGGCGGCGACAUGGCGACGGAGCUGGAGAAGCAAGACAGCGAUCAGGGCGAGGCGUCGUCGCCGUCGUCGGCGCGGGCGCGGCUCCUGGAGCGAGAGGUGGCGGUGGCGAAGCGAACGGAGGCGAGGAUGCUGGAGUGCCUGAUCCACCGGACCAAGGAGCUGGAGCAGGCCAAGGUGGCGCUCCAGGAGGCCAAGCUCGAGGCCGGCCCCGCGCAGGGGCAGUGGAGCGUCAUGGACCUCAUGUUCGGCGGCGUCGACGAGGAGAUCAGCGGGCUGAGGGCCAGGCUCCGGUCGGCGCUGGCCGCCGAGGAGAGGAGCCGGACGGCGGCCGACGACCUCGCCGCCGCGCUCUCCGCGGUCACCUCGGAGGCCAAGCAGGUGAAGGCGUGGCUGUCCGACGCACAGGCCGAGCUGGAGCGCGCCGACGCCGAGGCCGGCCGCCUCGAGGGCCUGCUGCGCGCCGCCGAGGCGGACCUGCGGUCGACGACGGAGCAGCUCGACGGCGCCAUGUCCGAGUGGAAGGAGGCCGCGGCCGCGUGGCGCGCCAGGGAGAAGGCGCUGCUCGGGCGCGCCCACGCGGCGGAGGAGGACGCCGACGGCGCCCGGCGCGAGAGCGCCGGGCUCGCCGAGCUGCACCGGGCGGCCGGCCACGAGAACGGCGGCCUGCGGCGCGCGCUGGAGCGAGCGGUGGAGGAGGCCAACGCGGCCAACGAGUUGCUCGAGUUCGCGGGCGGCGAGAACACCAAGCUCCGCGACGCCAUCGCCGAGAACGAGCGCGCCAUGGAGUCCCUGAGGCUGGAGAACGAGUCGCUCAAGGCCAGCGAGGCUGCCGCGCAGGGGCGUGCCGUGGAUCUAAGCAACCAGCUCACGGCGGCAACCCAAAAGGCGGCCGCCGCCGCCGCCGAUGGAGGCGCCGGCGGCGGAGAGAAGGCAGCAGCGGGGUUGCUACUGGAGAAGUGGAGAACCGACGCGGAGGGGAAGCUCGGUGCGGCGGCGUUCCUGGACUCCGGCAGGGCGGUGAUGGCCGCGGGCCGGAAGGACCGGAUGUUCGCGUCCGUCAGCAACAUCGCGGAGCUGAGGUCCGCGGCGGCGGCGGCGGCCAUGGACGAUUACGACUACGAGUUCGACCACUUGGAUGGCGGAAGACAGUACGGCGGCUUGGAGCAUGCCAUGAAGCACAAGAAGAGGUGCAUGCCGGAGGAGGUCUUGGUGCAACAUUACCAGGUCAGGCAGAGCAGGAAUAUCAAAGUGGAGCUAGGUGUCAAGGAGCAUGCACAUUGUGACAGCAAUCAAACCGGGAUUGACAAUAGUGUGGAUAGAAUAUUGAGGAUUGGUAUCCAGGAGAAUGCACAUCGUCACAGUGAGCGAAAUGUGAUCGAUGGAUUGGCUCUGGAGCUGGAUGCAGUGUUGUAUUGAGCUGGAGAUGAGAAAGUGAGAAGCAUACCUCCCCGCAGAGACAGAUUGGUUGGUGAAGGAGAGGUGCCUGGCAGUGAAACAAAGGGUUCUCCAAAUAGGACCUCUCGGCGGGACUCAAAACGGGGUGCUAAGCAGCAACCAUGUGGCACUGAUAAUGGCGGGGAUGGAGAGGAUGAUGACGUGUCCCAGAGAGUAUCUAAAUGAGCUGACAUCCUCAUACUUUUCUAGUUGCACAAGAGUACCUAAUUAGUUGGCAUCCUCAGCAUUUCUAGUUGCACAAUACCAUCCAACUAGUUGACAUCCUUAGUCUUUUUGUAGCUGUGUUGACACCCUCAACAUUUCUUCUAGAAGCCUGAAACCUGAAUGUGCUAUUUUUGAUUGUUCAUGCAAGUGCUGAAUAUUUCUUUUCGAGUAUCUA